CCUACGGGCGGCUGCAGUGAGGAAUAUUGGUCAAUGGACGAGAGUCUGAACCAGCCAAGUAGCGUGAAGGAUGACUGCCCUAUGGGUUGUAAACUUCUUUUAUAUGGGAAUAAAAUGUUCCACGUGUGGGAUUUUGUAUGUACCAUAUGAAUAAGGAUCGGCUAACUCCGUGCCAGCAGCCGCGGUAAUACGGGGGAUACGAGCGUUAUCCGGAUUUAUUGGGUUUAAAGGGAGCGUAGGUGGAUUGUUAAGUCAGGUGUGAAAGUUUGCGGCUCAACCGUAAAAUUGCAGUUGAAACUGGAAGUCUUGAGUACAGUAGAGGUGGGCGGAAUGCGUGGUGUAGCGGUGAAAUGCUUAGAUAUCACGAAGAACUCCGAUUGCGAAGGCAGCUCACUGGACUGCAACUGACACGGAGGCUCGAAAGUGUGGGUAUCAAACAGGAUUAGAUACCCGAGUAGUC
This 460-nucleotide ribosomal RNA is filed under the name uncultured bacterium. Its description in RNAcentral is "partial 16S ribosomal RNA". It matches the Rfam family "Bacterial small subunit ribosomal RNA", at positions 338 to 795 of the family's 1533-position model. The record is from RNAcentral.